Molecule: ribosomal RNA, 586 nt
Filed under: uncultured bacterium
Lineage: Bacteria
Description: partial 16S ribosomal RNA
Rfam family: Bacterial small subunit ribosomal RNA
Source: RNAcentral
UGGGGAAUUUUGGACAAUGGGCGAAAGCCUGAUCCAGCAAUGCCGCGUGUGUGAAGAAGGCCUUCGGGUUGUAAAGCACUUUUGCCCGGAAAGAAAUCCUUGGCUCUAAUACAGUCGGGGGAUGACGGUACCGGAAGAAUAAGCACCGGCUAACUACGUGCCAGCAGCCGCGGUAAUACGUAGGGUGCAAGCGUUAAUCGGAAUUACUGGGCGUAAAGCGUGCGCAGGCGGUUUGCUAAGACCGAUGUGAAAUCCCCGGGCUCAACCUGGGAACUGCAUUGGUGACUGGCAGGCUAGAGUAUGGCAGAGGGGGGUAGAAUUCCACGUGUAGCAGUGAAAUGCGUAGAGAUGUGGAGGAAUACCGAUGGCGAAGGCAGCCCCCUGGGCCAAUACUGACGCUCAUGCACGAAAGCGUGGGGGAGCAAACAGGAUUAGAUACCCUGGUAGUCCACGCCCUAAACGAUGUCAACUAGUUGUUGGGGAUUCAUUUCCUUAGUAACGUAGCUAACGCGUGAAGUUGACCGCCUGGGGAGUACGGUCGCAAGAUUAAAACUUAAAGGAAUUGACGGGGUCAUAGCUGUUUCCU